Molecule: ribosomal RNA, 253 nt
Filed under: uncultured microorganism
Description: partial 16S ribosomal RNA
Rfam family: Bacterial small subunit ribosomal RNA
Source: RNAcentral
UACGAAAGGGGCAAGCGUUGUUCGGAUUUACUGGGCGUAAAGCGCGCGUAGGCGGUGCGGUAAGUCAGGGGUUAAAGGCUGCAGCUCAACUGCAGUAAGGCCUUUGAUACUAUCGCGCUAGAGUACCAGAGAGGAUGGCGGAAUUCCCGGUGUAGCGGUGAAAUGCGUAGAGAUCGGGAGGAACAUCCAUGGCGAAGGCAGCUACCUGGACCAACACUGACACUGAGGCACGAAAGCGUGGGGAGCAAACAGG